UGAUGAUGAGGACGACGACGACAAAGAGGCUCAGGAAGACGUGGGCGAAAAUGCGAUUAGAAACUUUAAAAAAUCAAUUUUUCCGUCUCAUCGUUAUUCCUAGAUCGCUCAAGAGGCACAAAUUGCUCUUAAUUGCAAAAAGGCGCCUCUUAACGAGACCCUAAAUUUUCGGAGGAAAAGCUUUCGUAAUCCUUGGACAUUCGAUGAUUAUGAUUAUUAUCAUUAUUAUUAUUAUUAUCAUUUGUAGUGGUAGUGGUGCUAUAUAGUAGUAGUGGUGGUGGUGGUGGUGGUAGUGCAUCCAUUAACAACCCAUGAGGAGGAAGGGAUCUAAAGAGGCUAGCUGUUCUAGGAAGUGUUGAUGGGUUUUAAAGCUUCCCUUAAGAGCUCCAAGGCCCCUCUCAGUGCCUCAGCUUUCCUUUUCUAUUUAUAUUCUCCAUCUCAUCUGUCCUAGGCGCCGACCUGUAGGUGCACUCGUCUUAUGGGGGGUCACUUAACAGAUGGCGCGAAAGUCACUUCCGGAAUGUGUUCAUUAAGUCAGGAGUAUGGUAUAAUACAACUUACUGUGGGAAAAGUAGGUAUUUAAUUAAUGUGGACUUGACCGUUAUGUACUACUCUGACACUUGCGUAUUACUGUGCAGGUGUUGGCCGCGCAAAACAUCUAUGUGGAGGAUGACUGCGUUGUGCGUGGGCAGGAGUGAACAGAGGAGGCCGUCAGGCUGAAGACUCCCGACGGGCCGAGUGCCUCCCACCAGCAUCCACCCACGCACCGUCCUCAGCCGUCAGCCCACGCAUCACCGACCCACCAACCUCAGCCUUUUGUUCUUCACCCGCCGCCUACCACUACCUCUCAGCUCCCAAGAUCUCUGCAACGCCAUCAGGGCCUCGUAUUCAGGGAAGGAUCAUGGAGAGGGAAGGCAUUACAGGAGACUACCAAUGGAUCAAUCAAGCGGUAGAAUAUCACAGAGUUGACAAGCAAGGGAUGAAAUGUGAUUGGAUGGAAUGUUUGAGCCACUUUUGCCAUUGCCACACAAGCCUUUGAGGAAGGUUCUUGCGCCGGGAUAGGGCAAGAGAGACUUGACAACAAAUUAUCUCUACCACUAUAGUUGCUUUGGAAUGAGCAGCAUGAUUCAGAUGUGGUGUAUGGAUAGAAGGACGAUGAUCUGAGGCCAAGGAAGUGUCCAAGAAAAUUACCAAGAAAGGAGACCCAACUACAUCACCUGCCAGGCUCCACAGUAGUGGUGCCCCUUCCCCCCUCACUGCAUUAGGGGAGGAGGGGCGCACUUAACCACUGACACAGCGAACCUGCCUGUGUGACUAGCUUGUGAUGGCUGGUUGUCUACAAGGGCAUGUGUAAGAGUUGGACUCUCCCCACAAAAAUUUAGUGGAUUUUUAAGUUUUUUUUUUUUUUUUUUUUUACCAGCUUUGUAAUUAGCUGUUGAUUUUUACUCAGUGAAACUCACUCCCUGAAUAAUUCCUUCCUACUCCAGCCUGGCUUUCUCUCCUUGUAAUAAGUCUGCCCUGUCCAUCCCAAGCAAUGCAAAUGACCUACCCAUACCCAGUUGUCCCCUCCCACAGGACCUGGUGUAUCAAACACCCAUGGGUCAAUUGAAUAGAAUAAGAGAAAUCUAUAAGAUCUGGUGUUGUGUUGGUUACGUGAUACCAGUGGUAAAGUUUGUCACAUUGGUAGACCAACCAAUAACCUCAUAUCUACUAAGUGUUUCAGAGGCCAUGAGGCAUCAUUUUUCCCAGACAUCAUCUAAACAAACUGUUGUACCAGUAUGGUAUUUUGGCACAGCUUUAUUGACACCUUGCCCUAAUUUUCUGGUAAUAUAGUGCAUAGCCAAAGGUGGUUAAUUAAGGCAUUUACUCUUGACCCUGAUAGGGUAGCCUGGCAUGGCCAUCUAGACAUAUGGCUGGGUGAUGGUCCGGCUCCUGCAAUGGCGCAUAACUCAAGGGUGUAAACCCGGCCUCGACCAAACAAGCAGUAAGGCAAACAGACAAGGAUCUACAUAAAGCAAGGGAAGUCGUAAGACAUGUGGCCAAGGGAAGCAUGACGUUUAUACCCACCCACUACCUUCACUCCUGCUUUACCCUUCCUCUCUCUCUCACAUUCAUUAUACAUAGGUAAUGGGAAUUCAGAGGGAAUGGGAAGAAGGAACUAGCAAGUGAGAAAUUGCAGGACAGUGGCCAGAGGGAGAUGUAAAGGAGUAAAGUGGAGGAAAUACUUGGAAGAGCAAGAGCACAGAUAGAACACAGUGAAGGAGGUUUAUGAGGAUUUUAAAAGUUCAGUGGUCAGGGCAACUGAGGAAGUAGUCGGGUAUAGGUCGUAUGGAAAAGGAAAGAAAGGAGUGCGUGGUGGACGGAUGAGACAAAAGAGGCAGUUGAGAAAAGAAGGAACUAUAAGAAAAUGUUAGAGAAAUGUGACAGAGGAAGUGAGAGGGAGAUGGGAGAGAAAAUACAGGGAGAGUAAGAUGUUGGUAAAGAAAUUGGUUAGGGAAAGUAAACAGAGUGGAGCUGAUGGCAUAACAGCAUAAGUGUUGAAGUAAGGAGGAGGUGUAGUUAUGGAAUGGAUAUUAUGGAUAUGUAACCUACCAUGGGAACGGAGUGAGGUGCCAGAGGAUUGGAAAAAGGCUAUUGUUGUGCUGCUGUACAAAGGGAAAGUGAGCAGAGGUGAUUUUAAUAGUUACAGGGGAGUAAGUCUACUCAGUGUGGCAGGAAAAGUGUAUGGAAGGGUUUUAAAUGAGAUGAUGAAGAAAAUAACUGAAAAAAGUGUAGGCAAUGAACAAGAGGGUUUGAGGAAAGGGAGGGGUUGUGUAGACCAAAUAUUUGCACUCAAAAUGUUAGUUGAAAAAUUCAUAGAGAAGGAUAGGAAGCUGUUUGCUGCAUUCAUGGAUCUGGAGAAGGUAUAUGACAGGGUUGACAGGAAGGGGUUGUGGGAGGGCAUUUGCUGGAGGGAAUCCGAUCCUUCUAUAAGGAUGCAAGUGCCUCUGUAGGCGUGAAGGGUGAGUUGAGUGAGAGUUUUGGUGUUGGUGUGGGUGUGAGACAGGGAUGUGUGAUGUCACCAUGGCUUUUUAAGGUGUACAUGGAUGGUUGUAUGAGAGAAAUGAAAGCCAGAGUGGGGGAGCUUGGUCCAAGGCUGAAAGUAAGUGGUAUGGAGGAGUCACUGGUUGUGGGCCUGUUUACAGAUGAUACAGUGUUGUUGGCAGAGAAUGAGGGGACACUGCAGAGGGUAGUGGAUGAGUUUAACAGUGUGUGUAAGAGGAGAAAGCUGAUAGUGAAUGCUGGAAAGAGUAAGGUUAUGGUAUUUGAGAGGGCGAGAGAACAGGUCAUUGAUUUUGCAAAGCAAUACAGAGUUAGAGCAGGGGGUACAACAAAGUGUAGGAUAAGGUUAGGGGAGGAGAGAAUGGAGGAGGUGACUGAUUUAAAUAUUUAGGGACUGUUUUUUGUAAGCAUGGCAGUAUGGAAGGUGAGGUGGGGGAAAGAGCAGUGAAAGGGUGCAUUGGAGAGAUUUAUGAAAGGAAGAAACGUGAGCAUGGAGAUAAAGAGGAGAAUAAGGAAUAGUAUUAUCCUGCCAACUCUGUCAUAUGCGUCAGAGACAUGGACAUGGAAUGCAGCACAGCAAUCGAGAAUACGUGCAGUGAAAAUGAGUUAUAUAAGAGGUGCAUGUGGUGUGUCCGGAUGGGGUGGAGAAAGUAAUGAAAGCGUGUAUGAGCGGUUUGGUAUGGGUGUGACAGUGAAAGGAGUGGAGUGUGGAGUGGUGGACUGGGUGAAGCAUGGUGCACUGAGAUGGUUUGGAGAUGUGAUGAGAAUGGGGGAGAAUGAAUUCGUGAAGAGUGUAUGAGGGAAGGAUUGAGGGAGGGGGGGUCAGGGGAAGACCACCUGUGAGGUGGAUCAAAAGGGUGAGUGAGUAUUGGAGCGAGAGAGUUGGAAGUAGCAGGAUUGAAUGUGUUGCAAGGGAGUGCCAGAACAGGGAGAGAUAGAGACACUUCUGCCGCGGCCACCCCCUGGAGGGAAGUUUCUGCAAAGAAGCAAGGCAUCGAAGAUAUAGAUAGAUAGAUAGAAUUCAGCCAUGCACAUGUUACUUUUCUAUAGUGACAGAUAAUUUGAAAGUAUAUGCCAAGUAUGGUAGGGUGGUUUAUACUAACAACCAUGAUUCCUGUUCCAGCAUGGUCGGUCGCUUUAAGGUGUCCCACCCUUACCCCUUUCUGACCUCUACCCAACCUCCUGUAAGUGACCAUGCCUCAGCUGCCCUAUCCCAACAGACUUCCAACAUAGCCUCUGGAAAUGGAGGCCAAAAAGUUUUCAUUGAUAUAUAAUUCCACCACAAAGAUCAUAACUAUAGUACUUGAGAAAUGGCCAGCCAUGCUAGAACAGUUAUCACGGUUGUCAGCAUAAACCACCCUACCAUACUCCGUAUAUACUUUUGAAUUAUCUGCCACUAUAGAAAAGUAACAUGUGCAUGGCUGAAUUACACAUGCAUAAUGCAUGUGAUAGAGAGAGAGGGGGGAAGGAGAAGUGGAGGAAGGGUAAGGCAGGAGUGGAGGUAGUGGGUGGGUAUAGACAUCACAGCAACAUCACACUUCCCUCGUUCAUACGUCUAGAUGGCCAUGCCAGGCUUCGCCCAUCAGGGUCAAGAGUAAAUGCCUUAAUUAACCACCUUUGGCUAUGCACUAUAUUGCCAAAACUUAGGGCAGGGUCGUGUAGUGCGGCGACGGCCUGAUGAACGAGCCUCCCAUAACCCACUUAGCCAGUGGGGUACCUCUUUGGCCGACUCGGUAAGGAGUGGCUCUCCCGUCACGCUGGUCGCGGGUUCAAUCCCAGGCAGCCGGCGAAUACCCUGAUCUUGAUUAAUUUCUCGUGUUAUUUCGAUACACGCAGAGGCCGUGUUGAGAAAUAGGAAGGAUUUAGAAAAGAAGCUCGUCGGGGCAUUACAGUGUUAAAGAAGCUGUGCCAAAAUACCAAACCAAUACAACAGUUUGUUUAGAAGACAUUUGCGAAAAACGAUUCCUCACGGCCUCUGAAACGCUUAGCAGAUUUCACUAAUCCUAGUCAAUCAACCCAUAGGUGUAAGAUCCUUUUCUUGCCACCUGUACAGUCUUGUAGGAGAAGUGUUCCAUCAGUCAGUUGCCUCGGUGAUUCCUUUGGAAAGCCUGGCUUACUCUCCCAUCAAGUGGCUGUGUCCCUCUUCUUCUUUCUCUCCUGUUUGCCUCAGCACAACCCUGACAUCACCUUGGUAAACAAACAUUGAAUUAGUUAGGAAACAUAUAAUAAAUAUAACUGUUGCAUAUUAUUGUGUCAAUUUUUAGCUUAUAUAGCAAACAAAGUGUGUUAAAUACAAAAGGUUGGAUCCCUCAGAUAUAGUCAUCCCCUUCUCAAUUGGGUCAUUAAAGUGAGGGUUCACUGUAAUAGUCAACUCAAAUAAAUAAAAAUUCUG
Molecule: long non-coding RNA, 5434 nt
Organism: Eriocheir sinensis (Chinese mitten crab)
Lineage: Eukaryota; Metazoa; Arthropoda; Malacostraca; Decapoda; Varunidae
Exons: 3
Source: RefSeq, a predicted model, not a curated record